Molecule: long non-coding RNA, 468 nt
Organism: Drosophila innubila
Lineage: Eukaryota; Metazoa; Arthropoda; Insecta; Diptera; Drosophilidae
Exons: 2
Source: RefSeq, a predicted model, not a curated record
UUUUUAUAUUGCGUUUUUCGAUUAUUUUCCAUUUUCGUGUCAAUACGACAAGGUAUUGACAGGUUUAUUUAACAAACAUGUUGACAAUAUGCGACCGAAACUCAGAUAAGAAAACUUUCAUAAUUUAUAUGAUUUGCAUGCCAAGUUUGUACUCGUCCUGUUCGUCCUGUUUGUGCUGCUGGUCCGAUAGCCAAGCUAGUUGAGCACUUGAAUCUGAUGUGGCUUUUUCUCUUCCCAUUCACCAGGAGUGGUAAACAAAAAUGUGUUUCGUACGGCAUUUCUACGGGCUUCCAUGUUGCCAGCUUAAAACUGAAUCCUGUGGCAAAGCAAAAAGGAUGUUCAACUUGAUAUCCAACAAGCAAAUAGGUUUCCUUGACUUUUUCUCGAGCUAUCAUUGAAGUGAAAUCUAUAAAGGCUAAUUGACUGUUUGAUAAAUAAAAAGAUAGAAUAUUCAUGGACUACGCUUAA